This is a long non-coding RNA of Canis lupus familiaris (dog), 1237 nucleotides long. RefSeq lists it as uncharacterized. The transcript has 2 exons. Lineage: Eukaryota; Metazoa; Chordata; Mammalia; Carnivora; Canidae. The record is from RefSeq and is a predicted model, not a curated record.
AGAGGCUAAAAGACCUAGGUUGAAAGAGAAGCCACAUGGGGCCAUUGAUAGAGCCAGUUCCCGGUGGGCGACACUGCCCCUGAAGAGCCCUUAUGGCCCCUUCAGACCUGGUCAUGCUGAGGCCUCCUCACAGCAGAGGCAGCAUUUUAAGGUUUUGCGGGAACCCUUGAGCAUCCCACCCCAGACCACUGAACACAAGCAUUGUUUUGUUUCCUCUUUCACUGCAUGGUGUGCCAACCUGUGUGGGUUUUUGUUUGUUUGUAUUUGUAAAGAAGGAAGAGGGAAGAAUGAAAGGACCCAAUUUUUGAAUUUCAAAUGAGUUUACACCGAGGUCAUUACAUUUUUCUCCAAGAUAACUUACAGCUCAAAUGUCUACAGUUUUAUACGGAACUGUUUUAAGUUUUAAGAAUUUACUGGAAAACUUAUUAUCUACUCGCUAUGGACUUCUAGUUGAUUAAAUGCUCCCUUUUAUUUCCAGCUGAAUACCAUCAUAUUGGUUUCUCAAAGCAUUUAUUUAGAAGUGUAUUAGGAAUAAGAGUGUGUAAAGUAGUCAGAUGGAUAUAAUCCACGUGGCUUAGAGUGUCAUUCAUCCAAACAAUAGGUGGUAUGUGAGCCUCACUAUGCCAGGCAUCAUUCUGGUCAUGGAAGAUAGAAUGAUAUAGAACAAAAUGUGGCAUCUUCCUCAAGAAGGCUCCCUGGCUGCAGAGAAUCACACAAGAUGCUAUGAGAGCAGAGAGGAGGAAGAUCUGAGCCAGUCUCAUUGGCCAGCACUGAUUUUGAGGGGCAUAAGGCACAGACAAGUGCCAACAACUAAGUGCAGAACCAGUCCACAAAAUUGAUAACUUAUAUGUAGCCAGGGCUGCUCAGAAGUUGUGUGCUGAGUGUUGGAGUCAAGACUACUUGGGUUUGAGUCACAAUUCCACCUCUUAGCAGCUGUGUAAUAUUGGGUAUGUCACUAAGCCCCAAGUGCCCCAGCUUCGUUGCCUGUGAAGUGGAGAGAAUAUCUACCUCAGGAGAGGUUUAAAUUAGAUAACAUUUGCAAAGUGUAUUGUUGAGCAGGAUUGCUCUAUAAGUUGAGAUUUAUUUUAAUAAUGAUAAUAAAUAAAAAAUCUGUAGACCAAUCAGAUCAUCAGUACAUUUUUGUUAUGCUCAAAUCAAGAAUUGACUCUUUUAAUAAAGAGUUGAUGGUUUAAAAAAAAAAAAAAAAGAGUUGAUGGUUUAGACCAGGUAAGUUUUA